RNAcentral lists this ribosomal RNA (307 nucleotides) under uncultured bacterium. Its description in RNAcentral is "partial 16S ribosomal RNA". It matches the Rfam family "Bacterial small subunit ribosomal RNA", at positions 506 to 808 of the family's 1533-position model. The record is from RNAcentral.
AGACAGAGCCGCCGCGGUAAUACGAAGGGUGCAAGCGUUAAUCGGAAUUACUGGGCGUAAAGCGCGCGUAGGUGGUUUGGUAAGAUGGAUGUGAAAUCCCCGGGCUCAACCUGGGAACUGCAUCCAUAACUGCCUGACUAGAGUACGGUAGAGGGUGGUGGAAUUUCCUGUGUAGCGGUGAAAUGCGUAGAUAUAGGAAGGAACACCAGUGGCGAAGGCGACCACCUGGACUGAUACUGACACUGAGGUGCGAAAGCGUUGGGAGCAAACAGGAUUAGAUACCCCCGUAGUCCCUGUCUCUUAUACA